UGGGGAAUUUUGGACAAUGGGGGAAACCCUGAUCCAGCCAUCCCGCGUGUGCGAUGAAGGCCUUCGGGUUGUAAAGCACUUUUGGCAGGAAAGAAACGUCGCGGGUUAAUACCCCGCGAAACUGGCGGUACCUGCAGAAUAAGCACCGGCUAACUACGUGCCAGCAGCCGCGGUAAUACGUAGGGUGCAAGCGUUAAUCGGAAUUACUGGGCGUAAAGCGUGCGCAGGCGGUUCGGAAAGAAAGAUGUGAAAUCCCAGAGCUUAACUUUGGAACUGCAUUUUUAACUACCGGGCUAGAGUGUGUCAGAGGGAGGUGGAAUUCCGCGUGUAGCAGUGAAAUGCGUAGAUAUGCGGAGGAACACCGAUGGCGAAGGCAGCCUCCUGGGAUAACACUGACGCUCAUGCACGAAAGCGUGGGGAGCAAACAGGAUUAGAUACCCUGGUAGUCCACGCCCUAAACGAUGUCAACUAGCUGUUGGGGCCUUCGGGCCUUGGUAGCGCAGCUAACGCGUGAAGUUGACCGCCUGGGGAGUACGGUCGCAAGAUU
RNAcentral lists this ribosomal RNA (547 nucleotides) under uncultured bacterium. Its description in RNAcentral is "partial 16S ribosomal RNA". It matches the Rfam family "Bacterial small subunit ribosomal RNA", at positions 355 to 895 of the family's 1533-position model. The record is from RNAcentral.